GGACUUAGGGGACUAUAGGUAGUGCACCAUAUAGCUUGGAAGACGAACUGUGGUGUUGCUCAACCGGUGCACUUAAAAUUACAAGUCCCCAAUCAAGAAGUACCUUCUUACUCACGAACUUGGGGGACUAUUGUUGGUACCGUAAUUAACUGAGCAACUAGCUAGGCUAGAUCAUCCACGUGUCAUGCCUUGAGAGGUCGUCACCUUAGCCAAAGAAUCAUUACCACAAGUCACAAUUCUAACCAAAGAAAGAGGAGUCCCACAUCGAAAAACUACAACGCUCACCUAUAAAAGAAGACUACUCUCCCCUAAUAAAGAGACUCUCUCUUCUGGAUCCCAUGACUGGGUUGGGCUUCUCACUUGUUAUCUUUAUAUUUGGGUCCAACCUCUUGUACAAAUGUAAACACAUAAUAUCAUAAUGAGAACAUCCUUCUCUGUGGACUUAGCCUAUUCAUUAAGGGUGAACCACGUAUAUCUCGCCUUCUUUAUAUUUAUCGCUUGCCCAAAUCUUCACAUGCAUGUUGAAGUCCUCACCUUCACCUAUCAUCCACCACUCCACCUCUAUCUAAGUUGACCCUCCCAAAAAGAGCAUCAACAGAGCUUUCGAUAAUGAUGUAGAAGAAUUGCAAGUUUCUGGGUUUUUAUCAUAUACCAAUGACAAGUUUUGUAACAACACAUUGCCCGG
Molecule: long non-coding RNA, 685 nt
Filed under: Prunus persica (peach)
Lineage: Eukaryota; Viridiplantae; Streptophyta; Magnoliopsida; Rosales; Rosaceae
Description: long non-coding RNA (PPER_LNC008018)
Source: RNAcentral